RNAcentral lists this ribosomal RNA (544 nucleotides) under uncultured bacterium. RNAcentral describes it as "partial 16S ribosomal RNA". It matches the Rfam family "Bacterial small subunit ribosomal RNA", at positions 355 to 892 of the family's 1533-position model. The record is from RNAcentral.
UGGGGAAUUUUGGACAAUGGGGGAAACCCUGAUCCAGCCAUCCCGCGUGUGCGAUGAAGGCCUUCGGGUUGUAGAGCACUUUUGGCAGGAAAGAAACGUCGCGGGUUAAUACCCCGCGAAACUGACGGUACCUGCAGAAUAAGCACCGGCUAACUACGUGCCAGCAGCCGCGGUAAUACGUAGGGUGCAAGCGUUAAUCGGAAUUACUGGGCGUAAAGCGUGCGCAGGCGGUUCGGAAAGAAAGAUGUGAAAUCCCAGAGCUUAACUUUGGAACUGCAUUUUUAACUACCGGGCUGGAGUGUGUCAGAGGGAGGUGGAAUUCCGCGUGUAGCAGUGAAAUGCGUAGAUAUGCGGAGGAACACCGAUGGCGAAGGCAGCCUCCUGGGAUAACACUGACGCUCACGCACGAAAGCGUGGGGAGCAAACAGGAUUAGAUACCCUGGUAGUCCACGCCCUAAACGAUGUCAACUAGCUGUUGGGGCCUUCGGGCCUUGGUAGCGCAGCUAACGCGUGAAGUUGACCGCCUGGGGAGUACGGUCGCAAG